AGUUGGGCUAACCCCUGGGACCACACAGAGUUGGUACAAUUUCAGCUGAAUGUCAAACUGCCUUAGACCAUCUGGCACUCCUCAUUCAGCUUAUACACUGACUUUCUCAUCAGCUUCUCAAAGUGCUAAAAACAGUUUCAUGCCAUAUUUACUUUUAUUCAUCAACCUAAAAGCAUCUUGGGCCUAGCCUAACUAACCUCCGAGACAGCCAGCAACCUUGGAACAGAUGAAGGCGGUGUACGACAGCCCUGACCACACACCAUGGGGUUAUGUGCCCCGUAAGAGAAGGUUGGUCUAGCCAUCAGCCCUGGGAGAAGACAGAGGCUGGAGCCAGGGCUGAGGGCAGACCCAGGCUUCCGUACUGCUAUCUUGUUCGACAUCAGUUUGGUGCCUUGGAUGCCUACGGCUGCUGAAUUUCACUUUCCAGCUGGCUUUCUGGUCAGGUCACUGAGAAAGGCCAGGUGGUGGGACUCUGGGACUGUCAUCUGAGCCCAUGCCCCGCAGCCAAGGCUGAGCCCAAGACAACAGGAUAUAGAGAACAAAAGUCAGUGACUGCUCAGAAGACCCAAGUGCAGCAAGGAGCAUUCCUUUCGUUCCAGCAGAGAUCAGGAGCACAUCAGUCCUGCAGACAGGACAUGAGGUGAAGUUCUAAGAGAAAGCUCCUGGAAGCAGCUCAGGGGCAGAAGUGGUGGAAAAGUCUUCUGAUAAUGCUGAUACCCAGGACAACUACCUCAAAGCCUAGUCAUCCAUGAGUCUGGGAAGCACGUUGUGCCAAGAAGACUUCUACCAGCUACAAGAUGAAGAGUUUUUAGAGUCAUGAAACCAUAUCUCCAGGCUUCCUUUGAAGAUCAGGCCAAUUUGGCUGGACUUGUAUCUUUCACCAACGAGAGAGUCCUCCUGACUGAUCCAACUUACACCUUUUGCACAUGAAGAUACUAACGCCCAGAGAGAGGGUAGAGAAGAAACAGUAGAAAGAAGAUUCCUAAAACUCAGCCAAAGGAAGCCAGCCCACACUCAGGAACAGACCUGCUUUACAUGAUGGUGGAGGGCUUCAGUGUCAUCUGAGAGCCAAAUCAAUCUGUUCCGCCUUUUACACUGUCUGAAAUUCAACCAAUAGAUUAUCUUUCUCCUAAGUUAAA
Suricata suricatta (meerkat) is the source of this 1139-nucleotide long non-coding RNA. RefSeq lists it as uncharacterized. The transcript is spliced from 6 exons. Lineage: Eukaryota; Metazoa; Chordata; Mammalia; Carnivora; Herpestidae. The record is from RefSeq and is a predicted model, not a curated record.